RNAcentral lists this ribosomal RNA (623 nucleotides) under Ciliophora sp. RNAcentral's name for it is "SSU rRNA". It matches the Rfam family "Eukaryotic small subunit ribosomal RNA", at positions 341 to 980 of the family's 1831-position model. Lineage: Eukaryota; Ciliophora. The record is from RNAcentral.
CUACCAUGGCAGUCACGGGUAACGGGGAAUUAGGGUUCGAUUCCGGAGAGGGAGCCUGAGAAACGGCUACCACUUCUAUGGAAGGCAGCAGGCGCGUAAAUUACCCAAUUCUGACUCAGAGAGGUAGUGACAAGAAAUAACGGGCUGGGACUCUGUCCCGGGACUGCAAUGAGGCGAAUUUACACAACUUACCGAGCAUCAAUUGGAGGGCAAGUCUGGUGCCAGCAGCCGCGGUAAUUCCAGCUCCAAUAGCGUAUAUUAAAGUUGUUGCAGUUAAAAAGCUCGUAGUUGGACUUCUGCGAUGUUGCCAAUGCCCGCCAUGUUGUGUGCGCAGCGGCGCCCUCUCAUCCCUCUGUUAACGUCUCUCGGCAUUCACUUGCCGGUGGCGGGCUCAGAUAUUUUACCUUGAGAAAAUUAGAGUGUUUCAGGCAGGCUAGGCCGGAAUACAUUAGCAUGGAAUAAUGGAAUAGGACUUCGGUCUCUUUGUUGGUUUGAGGGACUGCAGUAAUGAUUAAUAGGGAUAGUUGGGGGCAUUAGUAUUUAAUUGUCAGAGGUGGAAUUCUCGGAUUUGUUAAAGACUAACUUAUGCGAAAGCAUUUGCCAAGGAUGUUUUCAUUAAUCAA